RNAcentral lists this ribosomal RNA (380 nucleotides) under uncultured eukaryote. RNAcentral's name for it is "partial 18S ribosomal RNA". It matches the Rfam family "Eukaryotic small subunit ribosomal RNA", at positions 592 to 976 of the family's 1831-position model. The record is from RNAcentral.
CAAUAGCGUAUAUUAAGGUUGUUGCAGUUAAAAAGCUCGUAGUUGGAUUUCUGCUGAGGACGAUCGGUCCGCCCACUGGGUGAGUAUCUGGCUCGGCCUUGGCAUCUUCUUGGAGAACGUUGCUGCACUUGACUGUGUGGCGCGGUAUCCAGGACUUUUACUUUGAGGAAAUUAGAGUGUUUCAAGCAGGCGCACGCCUUGAAUACAUUAGCAUGGAAUAAUGAGAUAGGACCUUGGUUCUAUUUUGUUGGUUUCUAGAGCUGAGGUAAUGAUUAAUAGGGAUAGUUGGGGGCAUUCGUAUUUAACUGUCAGAGGUGAAAUUCUUGGAUUUGUUAAAGAUGGACUACUGCGAAAGCAUUUGCCAAGGAUGUUUUCAUUGA